GAUGAACGCUAGCGGCAGGCCUAAUACAUGCAAGUCGAACGAUAGAAGAGAGCUUGCUCUCUUCGAAAGUGGCGCACGGGUGCGUAACGCGUAUGCAACCUACCUUAAUCAGGGGGAUAGCCCGAAGAAAUUCGGAUUAACACCGCAUAAAAUCACAGUACAGCAUUGUACAAUGAUCAAAUAUUUAUAGGAUUAAGAUGGGCAUGCGUGACAUUAGCUAGUUGGCGGGGAAACGGCCCACCAAGGCGACGAUGUCUAGGGGAUCUGAGAGGAUGACCCCCAACACAGGUACGGAGACACGGACCAGACUCCUACGGGAGGCAGCAGUAAGGAAUAUUGGUCAAUGGAGGCAACUCUGAACCGGCCAUGCCGCGUGCAGGAAGACGGCCCUCUGGGUCGUAAACUGCUUUUAUUCGGGAAUAAACCUCAUUACGUGUAGUGAGCUGAAUGUACCGAAGGAAUAAGGAUCGGCUAACUCCGUGCCAGCCGCCGCGGUAA
This 498-nucleotide ribosomal RNA is filed under the name uncultured bacterium. RNAcentral's name for it is "partial 16S ribosomal RNA". It matches the Rfam family "Bacterial small subunit ribosomal RNA", at positions 28 to 523 of the family's 1533-position model. The record is from RNAcentral.